GACUACAUAGUUAAUUUCUUGAGCCCGUUUUAGCCCAAGAACUCAGGCCUAGCGAAGCCAAGCCCAGACUGAGGUCUAACUGUUGAAGAAUCUUGUCUGCUUUGUAUUAGCUGGAAGUCGGUAUGCUGCAAAAUCCCAGUAGCAGCUUCAUUGCAUCAUUGAAGGAGCCACCGAUUUCUGUUUCUUUAGAGAAGAUUUACAAUCAAUCUCCAAAAUUUACGUUUCCUUGCUCAUUUUUCCAUUUCCUUUUGCAAAGUUAAUCAAACUCUGGCUCUGUUAAUUAUGUAUUUCUAUUUUUUGUUUCCUUUUCAAAUGACGGAAACUGAAAUUUGUGUUCAAGUUGUAAUUCUUGAAAUUAGAAAAAUUAUAGAUGUUUCUGAAUAUGAAGAGUUUUUGGAAACAUAUGGCGUUUUGUUAUUGAAUUUUGGUUUUCACUAAUUGAUUGGUUGCUUUUAUUGCAUUAUAGAGGAGGUAAAUCAGAGUCUUGCUUAAUGAACAGAUAGCAAAAUAGUUCAUUUGAUAUUUGGUAUGAAUAAUGGUGUUCCCUGUGCAGGAAUACACACUAGUUCAUGAUAAAUAACUCUUACAUUGGUUGCAUCAGCGAAUUUAACUGGGUAUGCUUUAUUCUGGUUUAAAUGGGGCAUAAAUCAUACAUCAUUGGCUUCUAUAGAGCCCAAAGUGUACACUAGAUAGGGUUUUAAGGAAACAGGUUCUUGGGUAUGAUCUAUUUUCUUUUGUAAAACAAGUAAUGGAAGGGAAUUUAUCACAAGGAAGUAUGAUUCCUGGGGGGACUCCAUUUGGAGGCCUUGACUUGCAAGGAUCCAUGAGAGUUAAUCAGCAAGCGCAGCACCAGCAUUCUAUACACCAUCAGCCUCAUCCUCUGCAUCGCCAAGGGUCUUCUGUACAUCCUUCAAUUCAUGAGGGUUUUCCCCUCACAGUGGGAACCAUGCACAAUUCUGAUCAAACCAUUUCCAUGACUGAUUACAAUAAGGGAGAUAAGGGGAAAAAUUCAGCAAGUGAUGAGGAUGAGCCAAGCUAUACUGAAGAUGGUGCUGAUGGUCACAAUGACACAAGUAGAGGGAAAAAGGGAUCACCAUGGCAGCGUGUUAAGUGGACUGAUAAAAUGGUGAGGCUUUUAAUAACUGCUGUGUCUUACAUAGGAGAGGAUGCAACUUCAGAUUGUGGUGGUGGCAUGAGAAGGAAAUUUGCAGUUUUACAGAAAAAGGGCAAGUGGAAAUCAAUUUCAAAGGUCAUGGCUGAAAGGGGUCACCAUGUUUCACCCCAGCAGUGUGAGGAUAAAUUCAAUGAUCUUAACAAAAGGUAUAAAAAGCUAAACGAUAUGCUUGGCAGGGGCACUUCAUGCCAAGUUGUGGAGAAUCCAGCACUACUGGAUGUUAUAGAUUAUUUAACAGAAAAAGAGAAAGAGGAUGUUAGGAAAAUAUUAAGCUCGAAGCAUCUAUUUUAUGAAGAGAUGUGUUCAUAUCAUAAUGGAAACAGAUUGCAUCUGCCUCAUGAUCCAGCAUUACAGCGUUCCUUGCAGUUGGCUCUUAGAAGUAAAGAUGAUCAUGAUAGUGAUGAUGUGAGAAAGCAUCAACAUGAUGAUCUUGAUGAAGAUGAUCAAGAAGUGGAAACCGAUGAUCAUGAUGAACUAGAGGAGAGUCAACCUCCACAUGGGGAUAGCAGGGGAAUGCAUGGGGUCUUAGGGGUCUCUAUGAAAAGGUUGAGACAAGGCCAGGGCCUUGAAGAUGCUUGUUUUGGGAAUUCAUCUCAGGAUGGUGGUAAAGGUUCCUAUUCCCAUUUGCAGAAUGCCCAAGUUGAUAUAAAUCAAGUCUCAUCUGAAAGUACAAGAGCAGCAUGGUUACAGAAGCAAUGGAUGGAAUCUCGUAUGGUUCAGUUAGAAGAGCAGAAGCUACAAAUUCAACAUGAAUCGUUGGAAUUAGAAAAAGAGCGAUUCAAGUGGCAAAGGUUUAGCUGGAAAAGAGACCGUGAACUGGAAAAGUUGAGGAUGGAAAAUGAGAGGAUGAAGCUUGAGAAUGAGCGAAUGGUAUUGGAGUUGAAGCGAAAAGAAAUGGGUAUUGAUUUUAAUUAGUUGUCUGGACCCUGGUUCUGUUCGAUUUUGUUAAACACAACAGCUGGACUGGUGUGCGACUUUACCCGGGUUCUGUUUUUUGCAUCUAUUGCAGUGAUAGUUCGUAACUGCAGAGGUCAAGUCAUUGACGGAGUUGCUAAGAGAAUUCAUUGUGCUUCUCCUUUGGUAGGAGAAGCUAGAGCCAUGUUGGAGGCAAUUCGUUUAGCCAUGAGGAAGGAUUAUAUAUCUUGUGUGUUUGAAUCAGAUUCUGCAGUACUUAUUAAUGCCAUUCAGAAUCAUAAAGGCAGAAUCCCAUGGGAGAUUCAAGCAACUUUACAAGCCAUUAAAGCUCUCAUUCCUAGAUUUAGCAAUAUCAGCUUUUUCUGGGUUAAUAGGAAACUCAAUUCAGUUGCUGAUUGUGUUGCUAGAUUGUUUGCCUCUAAUCUGCUACCUUGUAAUUGGCUGAGUACCAUGCCCAUUUCUAUUUUGAAGUGUAUCUUGGCUGAUGCCCCAGUGGCCAUGUAAUGCAAUUUGCAAUUCAAAAAAAAAAAAAUGAUGCUUCUUGUUUUUGACUUA
RNA transcript from Hevea brasiliensis (rubber tree), 2644 nucleotides. RefSeq lists it as uncharacterized. The record is from RefSeq and is a predicted model, not a curated record. The transcript is spliced from 3 exons. Lineage: Eukaryota; Viridiplantae; Streptophyta; Magnoliopsida; Malpighiales; Euphorbiaceae.